RNAcentral lists this small nuclear RNA (105 nucleotides) under Balaenoptera musculus (blue whale). The record is from RNAcentral. Lineage: Eukaryota; Metazoa; Chordata; Mammalia; Artiodactyla; Balaenopteridae.
GAUUGCUUUGUCAGAACAUAUCCUAAAAUUGGAACGAUACAGAGAAGAUUAGCAUGGCCCCUGGACAAGGAUGACACACAAAUUCGUGAAACAUUCCAUAUUUUU